Molecule: ribosomal RNA, 119 nt
Filed under: Triticum aestivum (bread wheat)
Lineage: Eukaryota; Viridiplantae; Streptophyta; Magnoliopsida; Poales; Poaceae
Also listed under: 1 other name
Source: RNAcentral
GGAUGCGAUCAUACCAGCACUAAAGCAUCGGAUCCCAUCAGAACUCUGAAGUUAAGCGUGCUUGGGCGAGAGUAGUACUAGGAUGGGUGACCUCCUCGGAAGUCCUCGUGUUGCAUUCC